UCGGGAAUAUUGCGCAAUGGAGGAAACUCUGACGCAGUGACGCCGCGUGCAGGAAGAAGGUUUUCGGAUUGUAGACUGCUUUAGACAGGGACGAAACAAAUGACGGUACCUGUAGAAUAAGCUCCGGCUAACUACGUGCCAGCAGCCGCGGUAAUACGUAGGGAGCAAGCGUUAUCCGGAUUUAUUGGGUGUAAAGGGUGCGUAGACGGAUAAACAAGUUAGUUGUGAAAUACCUCGGCUUAACUGAGGAACUGCAACUAAAACUAUAUAUCUUGAGUACUGGAGGGGAAAGCGGAAUUCCUAGUGUAGCGGUGAAAUGCGUAGAUAUUAGGAAGAACACCGGUGGCGAAGGCGGCUUUCUGGACAGCAACUGACGUUGAGGCACGAAAGUGUGGGGAGCAAACAGGAUUAGAUACCCUGGUAGU
Molecule: ribosomal RNA, 425 nt
Filed under: uncultured Oscillospiraceae bacterium
Lineage: Bacteria; Bacillati; Bacillota; Clostridia; Eubacteriales; Oscillospiraceae
Description: bacterial SSU rRNA
Rfam family: Bacterial small subunit ribosomal RNA
Source: RNAcentral